Molecule: ribosomal RNA, 379 nt
Filed under: uncultured cyanobacterium
Lineage: Bacteria; Bacillati; Cyanobacteriota
Description: bacterial SSU rRNA
Rfam family: Bacterial small subunit ribosomal RNA
Source: RNAcentral
CGAAAGCCUGACGGAGCAACGCCGCGUGUGGGAAGAAGGCCUUUGGGCUGUCAACCACUUUUCUCAGGGAAGAAGUUCUGACGGUACCUGAGGAAUCAGCCUCGGCUAACUCCGUGCCAGCAGCCGCGGUAAUACGGAGGAGGCAAGCGUUAUCCGGAAUUACUGGGCGUAAAGCGUUCGUAGGGGGCUCGUCAAGUCUGCUGUCAAAGACCGAGGCUCAACCUCGGGUCGGCAGUGGAGACUGGAUAGCUAGAGGUCGGUAGGGGCAAAGGGAAUUCCCAGUGUAGCGGUGAAAUGCGUAGAUAUUGGGAAGAACACCGGUGGCGAAAGCGCUUUGCUGGACCGAACCUGACGCUGAGGGACGAAAGCUAGGGGAGCG